CCUACGGGGGACAGCAGUGAGGAAUAUUGGUCAAUGGACGAGAGUCUGAACCAGCCAAGUAGCGUGAAGGAUGACUGCCCUAUGGGUUGUAAACUUCUUUUAUAUGGGAAUAAAAUGUUCCACGUGUGGGAUUUUGUAUGUACCAUAUGAAUAAGGAUCGGCUAACUCCGUUCCAGCAGCCGCGGUAAUACGGAGGAUCCGAUCGUUAUCCGGAUUUAUUGGGUUUAAAGGGAGCGUAGGUGGAUUGUUAAGUCAGUUGUGAAAGUUUGCGGCUCAACCGUAAAAUUGCAGUUGAAACUGGCAGUCUUGAGUACAGUAGAGGUGGGCGGAAUUCGUGGUGUAGCGGUGAAAUGCUUAGAUAUCACGAAGAACUCCGAUUGCGAAGGCAGUUCACUGGACUGCAACUGACACUGAGGCUCGAAAGUGUGGGUAUCAAACAGGAUUAGAUACCCGUGUAGUC
Molecule: ribosomal RNA, 460 nt
Filed under: uncultured bacterium
Lineage: Bacteria
Description: partial 16S ribosomal RNA
Rfam family: Bacterial small subunit ribosomal RNA
Source: RNAcentral